Long non-coding RNA from Contarinia nasturtii (swede midge), 925 nucleotides. RefSeq lists it as uncharacterized. The record is from RefSeq and is a predicted model, not a curated record. The transcript is spliced from 3 exons. NCBI's taxonomy places the organism in Eukaryota, Metazoa, Arthropoda, Insecta, Diptera, Cecidomyiidae.
UUUUUCUCCACAGACAAUUGUACAUCACACUGUUAUUCGCAUAUUUGACAAUUUCAAUAAGAACUCAGUCUUUUCACUGGCGAGCAUCGUGCUGUGAACGUGUUUUGUAUUACUUAUAGUACCAACAAUCUGUAAUCAAACGCGUAAUUGCAUCAAAUAGCAUCACAGACAAUAUGAGAGCUCCACAAAUGCUUAACUAUGCAGUAAAUCGGCUUAGCUAUAAUAUGGUGUCCAGUUUUACUGGUAAAUCAGAGCGUGCCGUACCUAGAUCAGCAGCGUUGAUGGCUGUAUUUGGCAUUGGUGUUUCAUCAUUCGGUGUAAAACAAAUGAUGAACAGUGGUCCAAGACGGUUUUAGACAUCAACUUAAAUCUACAUAUAAAAAAGAGCGAGCAAGUUGAAACGGUUCAGGAAGGAGGGGAGAUAUGAUGAACAUUUAAUGAUAGCAAAACGAAAUAAAUGCCAUACAAUUGAUGAAUGUGCGAUUGAGUUACAGUUUUCAAACUAUAACCAACGACUUAAUGAAGUGAAUGAGAAGAGAUUUUUCAUGUUCCCAGAGGGCGCUCACUUAUCCAGAGAUCAUCUAUGCAAUCUAUUACACAAAUACAUGGUUUUGUUUAUCCUGGCUUUGUCUCCGCAAUCGAUUCGACUUUUCGUUAUAUGUACAAGUGCUGCUUAGUUCUACGUUAAUUUUGAAUAUUUUUUUUUUGUGAUGAUAUUUUAUUUUAUUUUUGCAUCAAUUUAUUUACCAAAAAAGCAACAAGUUUAUAAAAACUACAUCCAACAUAGAAAACGAGCCCAAAAAAUUACAAACAUAUAUGUGCAUAGUGCAUUCAAUAAAGAUAAGAAAACUUGAUCAUUUUUUUAUAUGCUUAUUAUGGAAAUUGAUUGUAUUAAAACAAGGUUAAUAAAUUGAUCUAGGCGAAA